RNAcentral lists this small nuclear RNA (106 nucleotides) under Chinchilla lanigera (long-tailed chinchilla). The record is from RNAcentral. Lineage: Eukaryota; Metazoa; Chordata; Mammalia; Rodentia; Chinchillidae.
GUGCUCGCAUCAGCAGCACAUAUACAAAACUUGGAACAAUACAGAGAAGAUUAGCAUGGCCCCCGCACACGGAUGACAUGCAAAUCAUGAGGUGUUCCAUAUUCUU